GAAUACAGGCGUGAACCACCAUGCCUGGUCAAUAGGAGUUUAAAUUAAACAAGAUUAGCCAUGAGCUGGGAAUUUUUUAUGCUAGGUGAUGAGUACAUGAGGGUUGUAAUGUCCUGUAAACAAUUUUUGCGUAUAUCUAAAAUUGCUUAUAAUACAAUUUUUAAAAUAAUAGUUAAAAUUAACCACAUCAAAAAAUAUAAUAUUUGUAAUAAAAUGUUACUCAUUUUACAACAGGCAACAGUGCUCAUUAAAUGCGUGCAUAACUGACUGAAUGAAUGAAUGACACGACAUGACAACUCUGUAAAGUGAGGUAUUGUCAUUCCCUUUUCACAGAUACCAAAACCAAAACCAAAACUAAAACCAUCUGAAGUUAAGGCAGUUGCCCUGGAUUUCUUGACUGUUAGCUCCAUGAAGGUGAAAACUGUGUAUUUAAGUAGACAUUACAACAUGUGAAACCAUGAAUUUCAAAGAUCUGAAGAAGAGAAUGAAGUCAUGUCCCAAUAGAAACAUUGCAGAAACUUGGGUUUCUGCAAUGAAAAUUUUAAUCUCAUUUAUAAUUCAUUCCCAAAACACAAAUCUUCCCAUCUUCUCUGAGGACCUAUGCCUGCCUCCAAACAAAAGGGAUAGCAUUAAGAUACUGAAUGGAAUCAUGCAUUGAAUCACAAGAAGGUGGACCUGAGCAGCAAAACAAAAUGUAUUCUUCAUCUGCUCAGAAAUAACUAGUUUAAGAAACAGUGCGGGAACACUCAUACCCGUUUGCAGCUCAUGGUUUAUUUUUAGGGCAUUCAAAAUAUUUGUAAGUCAAAGCAGAAACUGCUCUUUUGCUGCCUUGUAACUUUAUUCAGCUCUAAUGCAGUGUGCACACUAAGAAGCAGAGAACACUUGAGUGAUGCCCUUAGCGGAUGUUAGAAAAACCUCGUUUUCUGUUUGAGCAAAACUCAAGAAAGUCUAUCAGGGUAACAGGCCUCAAGGCUAUGGCCAUGGAUAAGGAAAAGAGUGUUGUGGAACAAAAGCUCUUAGUUUUAUCAUCAUAAAACGUUCCAGUGGAUUUGAAACCUUUAUUAAGAGCCUCUCAUACCUGGUAAGUGAUCCCUUCACACAGAAUAAGCAAUCCAUCUGAUAAUUUUUAAAUAUUUACCCAGCACUGGAGGUAAGUGAGAGGUGGCAGUUGUUAGGGACAAGAGGAAGGUUAAGUUUUUUUUGUUUUUUUUUUUUUAAAUGUCACUCUUGCCUUAGAAGAAGGAAAGAAAAUAACAGGCAGGUUCUCUUACAUCGACCACCUAAAAGUCGCACUGGAAGAAGCAACAACCUCUCCUCCUUGUCUCCACCAUCUGCUCAGCAGCCGCGAAGCAGCAAUCAUGCGUGAGUGCAUCUCCAUCACAUUGGCCAGGCUGAUGUCCAGGUUGGCAAUGCCUGCUGGGAGGCCUACUGCCUGGAACAUGGCAUCCAGCCCAACGGCCAGAUGCCAAGUGACAAGACCACUCGGGGAGGAGAUGACUCCUUCAACAGCUUCUUCAGUGAGACGGGCUCCGGCAAGCACGUGCCCAGGGCAGUGUUUCUAGAUCUGGAACCCAUGGUAAUUGAUGAUGCAGUUUGCACUGGCACUUGCCACCAGCUCUCCCACCCUGAGCAGCUCAUCACAGGCAAGGAAGAUGCUGCCAGUAACUAUGCCAUUGGCCAGGAGAUCACUGACCUCGUUUUGGACCAAAUUUGUAAACUGGCUGACCAGUGCAUGGUUCUCCAGGGCUUCUUGGUUUUCCACAGCUCUGGUGAAGGAAUUGUUUCUGGGUUCACCUCCCUGCUCAUGGAACAACUCCCAGUUGAUGAUGGCAAGAAGUCCAAGCUGGAGUUCUCCAUUAACUCAGCACCCCAGGUUUCCACAGCUGUAGUUGAGUCCUACAACUCCAUCCUCACCACCCAGUGAGGACAUGACUGCCCUUGAGAAGGAUUAUAAGGAGGUUGGUGUGGAUCCUGUUGAAGGAGAAGGUGAGGAAGAAAGAGAGGAAUACUAAAGUAAAAAUGUCACAAAGGUGCUGCUUUUACAGGGAAGCUUAUUCUGUUUUAAACAUUGAAAAGUUGUGGUCUGAUCAGUUAAUUUGUAUGUAGCAGUGUAUGCUCUUAUAUACAAUUACUGACCUAUGCUUUAAAACAUGACUGCUUUUGCAGACCCAAACUGUCCAUUUCUGUGAUGGGUUUUGAAUAAAGUAUUCCCUGUCUUUAA
Cercocebus atys (sooty mangabey) is the source of this 2221-nucleotide RNA transcript. It is a transcript of the gene named tubulin alpha-1C chain pseudogene, with no coding region annotated. The transcript has a single exon. NCBI's taxonomy places the organism in Eukaryota, Metazoa, Chordata, Mammalia, Primates, Cercopithecidae. The record is from RefSeq and is a predicted model, not a curated record.